AAACCAACAGGGAUUGCCUCAGUAACGGCGAGUGAAGCGGCAAAAGCUCAAAUUUGAAAUCUAGCACCUUCGGUGUUCGAGUUGUAAUUUGAAGAUGGUAACCUUGGGUUUGGCUCUUGUCUAUGUUCCUUGGAACAGGACGUCAUAGAGGGUGAGAAUCCCGUCUGAUGAGAUGCCCAUUCCUAUGUAAGGUGCUAUCGAAGAGUCGAGUUGUUUGGGAAUGCAGCUCUAAGUGGGUGGUAAAUUCCAUCUAAAGCUAAAUAUUGGCGAGAGACCGAUAGCGAACAAGUACAGUGAUGGAAAGAUGAAAAGAACUUUGAAAAGAGAGUGAAAAAGUACGUGAAAUUGUUGAAAGGGAAGGGCAUUAGAUCAGACUUGGUGUUUUACGAUUAUCUUCUCUUCUUGAGUUGUGCACUCGUAUUUCACUGGGCCAGCAUCGAUUCGGAUGGCAAGAUAAUGGCAGUUGAAUGUGGCUUCACUUCGGUGGAGUGUUAUAGCUUCUGCUGAUAUUGCCUGUCUGGAUCGAGGGCUGCGUCUUUUGACUAGGAUGCUGGCGUAAUGAUCU
RNAcentral lists this ribosomal RNA (565 nucleotides) under Hansenula anomala. Its description in RNAcentral is "eukaryotic LSU rRNA". It matches the Rfam family "Eukaryotic large subunit ribosomal RNA", at positions 62 to 640 of the family's 3401-position model. The record is from RNAcentral. Lineage: Eukaryota; Fungi; Ascomycota; Saccharomycetes; Phaffomycetales; Wickerhamomycetaceae.